GACGAACGCUGGCGGCGUGCUUAACACAUGCAAGUCGAACGGAAAGGCCCCUUUGGGGGUACUCGAGUGGCGAACGGGUGAGUAACACGUGAGUAACCUGCCCUUGACUUCGGGAUAACUUCAGGAAACUGGGGCUAAUACCGGAUAGGAAUCCUUGCUGCAUGGUGGGGGUUGGAAAGCUUCGGCGGUUUUGGUUGGACUCGCGGCUUAUCAUCUUGUUGGUGGGGUAGUGGCUUACCAAGGCUUUGACGGGUAGCCGGCCUGAGAGGGCGAACGGCCACAUUGGGACUGAGAUACGGCCCAGACUCCGACGGGAGGCAGCAGUGGGGAAUAUUGCACAAUGGGCGGAAGCCUGAUGCAGCAACGCCGCGUGCGGGAGGACGGCCUUCGGGUUGGAAACCGCUUUCAGCAGGGGCGAAGCUUGUGGUGACGGUACCUGCAGAAGAAGCACCGGCUAACUACGUG
Molecule: ribosomal RNA, 465 nt
Filed under: uncultured bacterium
Lineage: Bacteria
Description: partial 16S ribosomal RNA
Rfam family: Bacterial small subunit ribosomal RNA
Source: RNAcentral